UAUAUCUGGACUCUGUCUUGCUGUGGAGCGUCAGUGUGUUGUGCACUCCUGUGGAGCUAACUCGUGCUGCUAAGACAGACUAACCAGCUUGUCACAAAUCUGACUAGCCUCCGGUCUCAAGCUAGGCGCAAGCCUCCACAGAUGCUAUACCUGUAUACCUAAGCACUUUGGCCACUUUGUUUCUGGGUGCUGCCCCUUGCCUCUCCGAUGGUUGGGGACUGUGUGAAUCCCAUCUGCAGCGGUUUCUUAUUUUUUCCUGCCUAGGGUACCCUUGUGGCUGUCAACUCGUGUUCAUCCGGCCUGAUCUUUCAGGCAUGUGAUGGUAUCAGGGUAUUAUACACCCUGUUGUCUUCUUACUUCCACUACGGACCAGCAGGUGGGCAUUAUGUGAUAUACACUGACAGAGCGACUUUAUUUAUUGUUUAUGUAUAUCUAAUGUAUUUGUGUACAAAUUAUUAAUUUUCUUUUUCUCUGUAUGUCAUUAUCAGAAUCCAAACUCUGA
This is a long non-coding RNA of Rana temporaria (common frog), 502 nucleotides long. RefSeq lists it as uncharacterized. The record is from RefSeq and is a predicted model, not a curated record. Lineage: Eukaryota; Metazoa; Chordata; Amphibia; Anura; Ranidae. The transcript is spliced from 3 exons.